UUUUAAAUGGCUACCUGUCCAGCAUCCACAAAUAUAGCAUCAAUUUAUAUGUUCACUUUCAAAACAAUAAAAUAACAAACUGUGACCAAAAUAAAAGUGUAUCGGUUAGAAAAAAUAUUACUAAUUACACCCUGGUUCAGCUCAAGAAGAAAUUUUGCCCCAAAGCUUAAAAAAAGUUUUUAAAAUUGCAAUAAUCUUUUAAAAAAAGAAGAAAGAAAACAAAAUUGAAACGGAGCUAAGGGAUAAAAAACCAAGUACAAAAGAGAGAGGGAGAAACAAGCCUUUCCAGCAGUAGAAAAAGACCAAAUAUUAAUAAUAUAAGCCUGUGAGGAUUGUUUACUGGGAAAAAUAGAAAAUUCAACAGCUGUAGGGAAAAAAAGAAACCGGGCGGAAGCGGUCCGAAAAUGGGAUACGACUUACGAUCAGGAACGUCCUCGUCACGGUUCGCAAUUCACGGAAAGUCGGCCAAUGAAUUGAUUUUCAAAUUUGUGAGAAAUAAAACCACAGCUGCUUCGAUUUUCAACGAUUCCAAGGAGGAGAAAAGAAGAGGACGCCGAAGAUGAUAUAGCCGUAGUCAGGAAUGUUAAAAAAAAACAAUUUGCUAUCUACGAUAAUCAGUAUUUGAAGAAAAUUGGGGAAAAAGUGUCAAAUUUAAAAUCGAACAAGGCGGAAAAAUUAAAUCGUUCGAUUUUGCACCGGAACGAGUGGGAUAUAGCGAAAAAAGGCGUCCCUUGUCGAAAAAGCGAGAAAAACGAUGAAAACAGGCCGCAUCCGCCUGGAAAGGAGUCGGAAACCGACGAGGAAAAUGAUUUCGGAUGUGGAUGAGAGCCGUGUGCCCAGGGCCGGUCGGCCAUGUUGGAUAACAAAAGGUACGGUCUGAUAUACGGCCGUCCCACUCACCAUUUUCUCACGUAUUUCUUCAUCUAGCCGGGCCGAAAUCUACGAGCUCCUUCAAUUUCGUCCUUAUUAAAAUUGGAUGGACCAUUCUUCUAUCGAGAUGUCGGCCGAUUUGUCAUUUGUCGUCGAAAACUUUCGAGGAGUAAGGACGGGCGAGAGACGCGAACGGGCCGGGGCGAGACUCAAA
Molecule: long non-coding RNA, 1084 nt
Organism: Cimex lectularius (bed bug)
Lineage: Eukaryota; Metazoa; Arthropoda; Insecta; Hemiptera; Cimicidae
Exons: 2
Source: RefSeq, a predicted model, not a curated record